RNAcentral lists this ribosomal RNA (497 nucleotides) under uncultured bacterium. RNAcentral's name for it is "partial 16S ribosomal RNA". It matches the Rfam family "Bacterial small subunit ribosomal RNA", at positions 28 to 507 of the family's 1533-position model. The record is from RNAcentral.
GAUGAACGCUGGCGGCGUGCCUAAUACAUGCAAGUCGAGCGAACAGACGAGGAGCUUGCUCCUCUGACGUUAGCGGCGGACGGGUGAGUAACACGUGGAUAACCUACCUAUAAGACUGGGAUAACUUCGGGAAACCGGAGCUAAUACCGGAUAAUAUAUUGAACCGCAUGGUUCAAUAGUGAAAGACGGUUUUGCUGUCACUUAUAGAUGGAUCCGCGCCGCAUUAGCUAGUUGGUAAGGUAACGGCUUACCAAGGCAACGAUGCGUAGCCGACCUGAGAGGGUGAUCGGCCACACUGGAACUGAGACGCGGUCCAGACUCCUACGGGAGGCAGCAGUAGGGAAUCUGCCGCAAUGGGCGAAAGCCUGACGGAGCAACGCCGCGUGAGUGAUGAAGGUCUUCGGAUCGUAAAACUCUGUUAUUAGGGAAGAACAAAUGUGUAAGUAACUAUGCACGUCUUGACGGUACCUAAUCAGAAAGCCACGGCUAACUACGUG